GAGUUUGAUCGUGGCUCAGAUUGAACGCUGGCGGCAUGCCUUACACAUGCAAGUCGAACGGCAGCAUGAUCUAGCUUGCUAGAUUGAUGGCGAGUGGCGAACGGGUGAGUAAUACAAUCGGAACGUGCCCUGUAGUGGGGGAUAACUAGUCGAAAGAUUAGCUAAUACCGCAUACGACCUGAGGGUGAAAGUGGGGGACCGCAAGGCCUCAUGCUAUAGGAGACGGCCGUAUGUCUGAUUAGCUAGUUGGUGGGUAAAGGUCCCACCAAGGCGACGAUCAGUAGCUGGUCUGAGAGGACGAUCAGCCACACUGGGACUGAGACACGGCCCAG
Molecule: ribosomal RNA, 332 nt
Filed under: uncultured microorganism
Description: bacterial SSU rRNA
Rfam family: Bacterial small subunit ribosomal RNA
Source: RNAcentral